This 247-nucleotide ribosomal RNA is filed under the name uncultured bacterium. RNAcentral's name for it is "partial 16S ribosomal RNA". It matches the Rfam family "Bacterial small subunit ribosomal RNA", at positions 524 to 767 of the family's 1533-position model. The record is from RNAcentral.
UACGGAGGGAGCUAGCGUUGUUCGGAAUUACUGGGCGUAAAGCGCACGUAGGCGGCUUUGUAAGUUAGAGGUGAAAGCCCGGGGCGUCAACUCCGGAAGUUGCCUUUAAGACUGCAUCGCUUGAAUCCAGGAGAGGUGAGUGGAAUUCCGAGUGUAGAGGUGAAAUUCGUAGAUAUUCGGAAGAACACCAGUGGCGAAGGCGGCUCACUGGACUGGGUAUUGACGCUGAGGUGCGAAAGCUGGGGGA